GGGGGGGAGGAGGACGGGAUAGUGGCGACAAGAGUCUGGAGGCAGCGCAACCCCAACAGAGACUUCGGAGGUUUUCAAAGUGGGGCACCUCGAUUUCUCGAAUUUGUGGUGUGGCAAGUACCCGUGUUCCGCUGGUUUAACUAGCCUGUUUGGUUCUAUGCAACUUGUGUUAUUCAAGUAAAGAUGAUGCCAGUAAUCAAAUUACAGAAUCUAAUCAAAUAUUUAAUAUGCACAAUAAACCCAUGAAAAAAUGAACAGGACUAAGAUAAAGAAGAUCAGACAGAGUUGAAGAUGAGCCAUCAUUGGUGUUGAUUGAGUUGCCAAGCAGUCACCUGAGUCCUUACAGUUGUGUUUGCUGCCAAAGUUGAUGACUCCUGGAAUCCACACGAAACAAAGAGAACUGACUGCAGAAAGCUGUCCUCAGAUCUUCACAUACCCACUGUGGCACAUGUUGCAUGCCCCCACACAGUCGUGCACACAAUGUAUUAAAAUUGUUUAAAGAAACCCAGUGGUGUUUUUUCUUCUUGUUGAUUUUUGAAACAGUGUCUCACACACUAUGUAUCUCAGGCUGGCCA
This 575-nucleotide long non-coding RNA is filed under the name Cricetulus griseus (Chinese hamster). RNAcentral describes it as "lncRNA (ENSCGRG00015041765.1)". Lineage: Eukaryota; Metazoa; Chordata; Mammalia; Rodentia; Cricetidae. The record is from RNAcentral.